UACAGAGGUGGCGAGCGUUGUUCGGAUUUACUGGGCGUAAAGGGUGCGUAGGUGGCAUCGUAUGUCGGACGUGAAAGCCCAUGGCUCAACCAUGGAAUUGCGUCCGAAACUGCGGAGCUAGAGUACAGGAAGGGAGAGCGGAAUUCUUGGUGUAGCGGUGAAAUGCGUUGAUAUCAAGAAGAACACCGGUGGCGAAGGCGGCUCUCUGGAAUGUUACUGACGCUGAGGCACGAAAGUUGGGGGAGCAAACAGG
This 253-nucleotide ribosomal RNA is filed under the name uncultured bacterium. RNAcentral describes it as "partial 16S ribosomal RNA". It matches the Rfam family "Bacterial small subunit ribosomal RNA", at positions 524 to 776 of the family's 1533-position model. The record is from RNAcentral.